UCUCCAUUUCUUCUAUCCCCAAAAAGCUACUCUGUCUCUCUUUCACAAAAAACCCUAAUCCCCAAAUCCCAGUUUCACCCAAAAUUCAAUAUAUUAAGCCAUUUAUUCGAUGCGAUAUAACAAGGUCUAAAUGAACAGAUGCCAAUCGGAGAAAAGGAAGCUUAAGUCAAUAUAACAUAUUAAACCAUUUAUCCGAGGUCCGUUUUCGGUUGUUGUUGUUGUUUCUGGUGGUGGUGAUAGUGUGAAUUUGUUCUAAGAGGCGUGGGAGGUCUGUGUCUAAGAAUAAUGACGGUGAUGAUGCUGGUAGUGCAGAUAGGGUUGUUUCGGAUAGUGAUUGAGGAAAAGGCGGUCUAUUUCGGUUGUUCAACAUCAGAUUAGUGGCUCCGAGAUCCAGAGGAAGAACGUCGAUGGAUGGCUCAAGAAGUACGCAGUUACGUUGAAGCAGUUCUCAACACCCUUGCUGCCAAUGUCCAAAGGCAGUUGUUCAUUGCCAAGUAGAAAAGGCUAAAGAAGAUAGCUCAAUAAACUAGUUUUGUAAGUUUAGCUGCUAUAUCUCGUCCUCCUUGUCUUGUAUAGUAUUAGUAGAGAAUCUGUCAGUUGGAAUACUAGCAGGAAUGGUCAAUCUAAUGGUGCCAUUGCAUUGAUGGAAGUAUUCAAAUACCAUCGGUUGAUAAAUUUCCUGGUAGUUGCUCAAAAUCCCUACAUUUUGAUGCGUAUUUUUUAAGAUGGUGCUAAACUGGUUUAAUCUGAUUGGGAAGAUCUUGUGGACAAAUAAGGAAGCCCCCUUCAUAUAUAGGAAGUAUUUAAAAAACUUAGUUGUCAACGGAAAAGCAAUAUAUAUACCAGAUCUAGAAAUUCAAUAAGGUAGGGGUAUUAUGGGAUUCUUUUUGAAAUGAAAAUCAACCAGCAAAUUAUUGGAUUUUAUUUGAUGAGGUAUGUUUAUUGGAUGCAAUUUCUUGAAAUUAAAGCCCAACAGAAUCACGGUAGAGAUUACAAAUUAUUGAGGGGUGCAUCUGGACUCGGCUUUUGAAUAUUCUAUGUGGGUUUAGGGAAUGAUUUAGGACUCGGUUUUUGUUAAUGCAACAAUGGACUCAGAUUUUUAGCGUUACCUGGUGGAGGCUCAGAAACAUUCUUAUUAUGAGUUUUUUAACUUCUAAAAUAACUAAGUGACAAAUAAUAAAUUUGAAAACUAAUUUUAUUAUUAAAAAAAACUUGAUAAAAGUCAACCAGCCACGUUUUGCCCUAACAUUACAUAUAAAACAGAACAAAAAACUACAGAAACAGAGAACUUCCCUGAGCAAAACUAAUUGACCAGUGAUGUGAGAUUGUGGCCUUCAAGUUUUUCUUCCUUUUAGUCACUAACUGCCAACUUUUUUUUACCUUGAACAUGAACUGUAAGAAGCCUAAAUUCUCAUAAUCAUGGAAGAUAUAUCCAUAAUGUCUACUUGAUCAAGAUAUAACGGGUCAAUUUCAGUAUGGGUAGAGUGUAGUGCUUAGAUUCUGUUGAAAUCGUACUCUAAUGUAUACGGGACAAUGAUGUUUAAAUAGGUUACAGACAAGAUUUUCGCUUAAGACUCAUGUGCAUUAAAGUUACUAAUGUACUUGCUUAUUUAGCCGUAAAAAGUUACUAAUGUACUUGCUUAUUUAGCCGUAAUAGAGAUUGUAGCUUACUCCUAUAUUGUUGCAGAUAAAAGUGGAAAGAAAGAAUGCGUGGCUAAAUCUGCAGCUGAAACUAAACCUCAAGCUGUUAUGCUGAAAUAACGUCAGGCUUAUGUGGUUUGAACUUAGAACAUGUUUAAAAAAAUUCUUAGUGCUUACAAAUUUUUUUCAUCUGGUUUAUCAAAUUUUCACUUGAAUGAUGAUCAAAGUUUGACUUUUCAUGGUUAAAUGUUCACCUUCAAAUGCAUAAUCAUUGUUAACUAUAUAGUGAUUGUUAUAGAAUUCGUUGGAUUC
Molecule: long non-coding RNA, 1953 nt
Filed under: Helianthus annuus (common sunflower)
Lineage: Eukaryota; Viridiplantae; Streptophyta; Magnoliopsida; Asterales; Asteraceae
Description: hypothetical non coding rna
Source: RNAcentral